UACGUAGGGUGCGAGCGUUAAUCGGAAUUACUGGGCGUAAAGCGUGCGCAGGCGGUCUUUUAAGCCAGAUGUGAAAUCCCCGGGCUUAACCUGGGAACUGCAUUUGGAACUGGGAGACUAGAGUGCGUCAGAGGGGGGUGGAAUUCCACGUGUAGCAGUGAAAUGCGUAGAGAUGUGGAGGAACACCGAUGGCGAAGGCAGCCCCCUGGGAUGACACUGACGCUCAUGCACGAAAGCGUGGGGAG
Molecule: ribosomal RNA, 245 nt
Filed under: uncultured bacterium
Lineage: Bacteria
Description: partial 16S ribosomal RNA
Rfam family: Bacterial small subunit ribosomal RNA
Source: RNAcentral